Molecule: unclassified non-coding RNA, 74 nt
Filed under: Salmonella enterica subsp. enterica serovar Paratyphi A str. ATCC 9150
Lineage: Bacteria; Pseudomonadati; Pseudomonadota; Gammaproteobacteria; Enterobacterales; Enterobacteriaceae
Also listed under: 1 other name
Description: C0343; sRNA gene
Source: RNAcentral
CUGUUCCCAUUCCUGAGCCGCUUCCCCGUCCUCAGCCGAUGCCCGACCCGCCGCCGGACGAAGAACCGAUUAAA